This 274-nucleotide ribosomal RNA is filed under the name uncultured bacterium. RNAcentral describes it as "partial 16S ribosomal RNA". It matches the Rfam family "Bacterial small subunit ribosomal RNA", at positions 523 to 796 of the family's 1533-position model. The record is from RNAcentral.
AUACGGAGGGUGCGAGCGUUAAUCGGAAUUACUGGGCGUAAAGGGUGCGUAGGCGGCUUGAUAAGUCGGAUGUGAAAGCCCCGGGCUUGACCUGGGAAUUGCAUUCGAUACUGUCAGGCUAGAGUAUGUCAGAGGUUGGCGGAAUUCCUGGUGUAGCGGUGAAAUGCGUAGAUAUCAGGAGGAACACCAGUGGCGAAGGCGGCUAACUGGGGCAAUACUGACGCUGAGGCACGAAAGCGUGGGGAGCAAACAGGAUUAGAAACCCUUGUAGUCC